GCCUGAUUAGUUCAGCUGGAUAGAAUGUCUGCCUACGGAGCAGACGGUCGUAGGUUCGAAUCCUGCAUCGGGUA
Molecule: non-coding RNA, 74 nt
Organism: Perkinsus marinus ATCC 50983
Lineage: Eukaryota; Perkinsozoa; Perkinsida; Perkinsidae
Source: Rfam